Molecule: ribosomal RNA, 285 nt
Filed under: uncultured bacterium
Lineage: Bacteria
Description: partial 16S ribosomal RNA
Rfam family: Bacterial small subunit ribosomal RNA
Source: RNAcentral
UUAAGUCUACGGGACGCAGCAGUGGGGAAUUUUGGACAAUGGGCGCAAGCCUGAUCCGGCUAUUCCGCGUGUGGGAUGAAGGCCCUCGGGUUGUAAACCACUUUUGUAGAGAACGAAAAGACACCUUCGAAUAAAGGGUGUUGCUGACGGUACUCUAAGAAUAAGCACCGGCUAACUACGUGCCAGCAGCCGCGGUAAUACGUAGGGCGCGAGCGUUAAUCGGAAUUACUGGGCGUAAAGGGUGCGCAGGCGGUUGAGUAAGACAGAUGUGAAAUCCCCGAGCUU